CCUACGGGAGGCAGCAGUGGGGAAUAUUGCACAAUGGGGGAAACCCUGAUGCAGCGACGUCGCGUGAGUGAUGAAGUAUUUCGGUAUGUAAAGCUCUAUCAGCCGGGAAGCAAAUGACGGUACGUGACUCAGACGCCCCGGCUAACUACGUGCCCGCAGCCGCGGGAAUACGUAGGGGGCAGGCGUUAUCCGGAUUUUCUGGGGGUAAAGGGAGCGUAGUCGGGGGUGCAAGGCAGAUGUGAAAGCCCGGGGGUCAACCCCGGGACUGCAGUUGGAACUGGGCGGCUAGAGUGGCGGAGAGGCAGGCGGAAUGCGUAGUGUAGCGGUGAAAUGCGUAGAUAUUGGGAGGAACACC
Molecule: ribosomal RNA, 355 nt
Filed under: uncultured bacterium
Lineage: Bacteria
Description: partial 16S ribosomal RNA
Rfam family: Bacterial small subunit ribosomal RNA
Source: RNAcentral